Molecule: ribosomal RNA, 253 nt
Filed under: uncultured microorganism
Description: partial 16S ribosomal RNA
Rfam family: Bacterial small subunit ribosomal RNA
Source: RNAcentral
UACGGAGGAUGCGAGCGUUAUCCGGAUUUACUGGGGUUAAAGGGUGCGCAGGCGGUUGUUUAAGUCAGGGGUGAAAGCCCUAUGCUCAACAUAGGGAUUGCCUUUGAUACUGAACGGCUAGAGUGAAGAUGGAGUGGGUGGAAUGUGUUGUGUAGCGGUGAAAUGCAUAGAUAUAACACAGAACACCGAUCGCGAAGGCAGCUCACUAAUUUUCAACUGACGCUCAUGCACGAAAGCGUGGGGAUCAAACAGG